RNAcentral lists this long non-coding RNA (117 nucleotides) under Takifugu rubripes (torafugu). Its description in RNAcentral is "lncRNA (ENSTRUG00000033184.1)". Lineage: Eukaryota; Metazoa; Chordata; Actinopteri; Tetraodontiformes; Tetraodontidae. The record is from RNAcentral.
CAUUUGUUACUUCCAGGCUGGACUACUGUAACUCUUUAUUAUCAGGGUGUCCAAACAACUCUUUAAGAAGCCUCCAGUUGAUCCAAAAUGCUGCAGUUCUGACAGGUAUUGACAAAA